This 71-nucleotide transfer RNA is filed under the name Saxifraga aphylla. RNAcentral describes it as "partial tRNA-Leu". The record is from RNAcentral. Lineage: Eukaryota; Viridiplantae; Streptophyta; Magnoliopsida; Saxifragales; Saxifragaceae.
UUAAAAUCCGUCGACUUUAGAAAUCGUGAGGGUUCAAGUCCCUCUAUCCCCCUCAAAAAGGGCCCGUUUGA